RNAcentral lists this ribosomal RNA (253 nucleotides) under uncultured bacterium. RNAcentral describes it as "partial 16S ribosomal RNA". It matches the Rfam family "Bacterial small subunit ribosomal RNA", at positions 524 to 776 of the family's 1533-position model. The record is from RNAcentral.
UACGGAGGGUGCAAGCGUUAUCCGGAUUCACUGGGUUUAAAGGGUGCGUAGGUGGGCAAGUAAGUCAGGGGUGAAAUCUCCGGGCUUAACCCGGAAACUGCCAUUGAUACUAUUUGUCUUGAAUACUGUGGAGGUCAGCGGAAUAUGUCAUGUAGCGGUGAAAUGCUUAGAUAUGACAUAGAACACCAAUUGCGAAGGCGGCUGGCUACACAAAUAUUGACACUGAGGCACGAAAGCGUGGGGAGCAAACAGG